This 414-nucleotide ribosomal RNA is filed under the name uncultured bacterium. Its description in RNAcentral is "bacterial SSU rRNA". It matches the Rfam family "Bacterial small subunit ribosomal RNA", at positions 334 to 740 of the family's 1533-position model. The record is from RNAcentral.
UACUCCUACGGGAGGCAGCAGUGGGGAAUAUUGGACAAUGGGCGAAAGCCUGAUCCAGCCAUGCCGCGUGUGUGAAGAAGGUCUUCGGAUUGUAAAGCACUUUAAGUUGGGAGGAAGGGCAGUAAGUUAAUACCUUGCUGUUUUGACGUUACCAACAGAAUAAGCACCGGCUAACUUCGUGCCAGCAGCCGCGGUAAUACGAAGGGUGCAAGCGUUAAUCGGAAUUACUGGGCGUAAAGCGCGCGUAGGUGGUUCAGCAAGUUGGAUGUGAAAUCCCCGGGCUCAACCUGGGAACUGCAUCCAAAACUACUGAGCUAGAGUACGGUAGAGGGUGGUGGAAUUUCCUGUGUAGCGGUGAAAUGCGUAGAUAUAGGAAGGAACACCAGUGGCGAAGGCGACCACCUGGACUGAUAA